RNAcentral lists this ribosomal RNA (253 nucleotides) under uncultured bacterium. RNAcentral describes it as "partial 16S ribosomal RNA". It matches the Rfam family "Bacterial small subunit ribosomal RNA", at positions 524 to 776 of the family's 1533-position model. The record is from RNAcentral.
UACGUAGGGUGCAAGCGUUGUCCGGAAUUAUUGGGCGUAAAGAGCUCGUAGGCGGUUUGUCGCGUCUGCUGUGAAAACUCGGGGCUUAACUCCGGGCCUGCAGUGGGUACGGGCAGACUAGAGUGCGGUAGGGGAGACUGGAAUUCCUGGUGUAGCGGUGAAAUGCGCAGAUAUCAGGAGGAACACCGGUGGCGAAGGCGGGUCUCUGGGCCGAUACUGACGCUGAGGUGCGAAAGCGUGGGGAGCGAACAGG